RNAcentral lists this ribosomal RNA (199 nucleotides) under Escherichia coli. Its description in RNAcentral is "partial 23S ribosomal RNA". It matches the Rfam family "Bacterial large subunit ribosomal RNA", at positions 2744 to 2925 of the family's 2925-position model. The record is from RNAcentral. Lineage: Bacteria; Pseudomonadati; Pseudomonadota; Gammaproteobacteria; Enterobacterales; Enterobacteriaceae.
GGUAGCUAAAUGCGGAAGAGAUAAGUGCUGAAAGCAUCUAAGCACGAAACUUGCCCCGAGAUGAGUUCUCCCUGACUCCUUGAGAGUCCUGAAGGAACGUUGAAGACGACGACGUUGAUAGGCCGGGUGUGUAAGCGCAGCGAUGCGUUGAGCUAACUGGUACUAAUGAACCGUGAGGCUUAACCUUACAACGCCGAAG